RNAcentral lists this long non-coding RNA (4751 nucleotides) under Glycine max (soybean). RNAcentral describes it as "long non-coding RNA (GMAX_LNC001102)". Lineage: Eukaryota; Viridiplantae; Streptophyta; Magnoliopsida; Fabales; Fabaceae. The record is from RNAcentral.
GAAGGAGAAGGUUUGACAAUCCAUGAAAUCCGGUCUAGCCUUAGCAAAGCGUCAUCAUGCCAAUUGGUCACCUUUUUGAGCCUGAAGUCGCGCCAUUUUUUGGCCUUCCUCCAUCUUUGUUCAAAAUUGGUCAAUAUAUCAUAUGCUGCUGGACCUUCAAUUUUGCAAUGUAAGUCAUGCCAUGGCUGCCUUGGUGCACAUGAAUUCGAAUGUAACUGUGUCAUAUAGCACACAAUUUCAGCAAAUUCCCUUAUGAUAUUUUUUUCUCCUUUAUUUGGUGCUGAUGUGUGCAUUUGUUUUCCUUCUCACUUUCACCCAUCACCGUGAAUAUCAAAAAACCAUAGCAUAUACUAUGUGUAUAGAAGAUAAACAUUGACAUAAUUGAUUUUACAAUGACAUAUGAACACUCUCAUAAGGCAAAAUCACCAUAUAAGGCAACAUUGAAGAUCAACAGAUAAUCUAGCAAAUGAAGUUUAUCAAAAUUAACAGACAAAGAAGAAGAUUUUGAAAAACUCUCGAGCAAAAUCAGAAAUAAAAAUUUGGUUUUGUUUAGAGCACAGCAUCAUUCUUUAAUCUAUUUACCAACCCUACCCCAUUGGUAAGGCUCUCGCUUCUUGUCGUCAUUAUUGUUGACAAAAAUCAGCACACAGAAAAAGCCAGAAGUUGGUAUUAUUAUCUUUAUUCCACUGUAUGCACAUAAAGAUAUGUUUUAUAAAAUUCCCUAGUAGUAUAAUAAAAGAGAAGGCAUGCUUUAUUCUUGUGAAUUCUUCAAUGUUUACAAUAAACACUUACUUGAAAUGUAGGAUUAUGAAAAUCAUUAUGAAAGACUGUAUCUAGAUCACGAAAAAGCCGAUGCUCCGGUGUAUCAUAUCUACCAUCACAUAGAUCCAAACCACCAAUGAAAGCUGUUAUUUUCCUAUUAUUCCCAGAACCUAGACUGUCUACAAGAACACAUUUCUGGUGAUGCGUAAAGAGGGUUCCCACAACCUGGACCAAAUGAUUCAAUCAAAUUAGUAUUGUUUUAAGUUUUAGCUAAGUACACAACAUGACCUCGUUAUAUCUAUGACUACUACUAAAUGUAAGUCUUCCAGUUAAGAAAUAAUGACAUUGAUGGUGACAUCAAAUAGCUAGUAUCUUUAUCCAACACAAUUCUAAACUCAAAUGCAAGAACUCCGUGCCUGUUGCUUGAAAAUACUGAGCUUAUUGCUUGCAUAGCGUGGAGAUAGCACACAAUGAACAGUAGAAUGUUUGAAAAACUUCUUAGUUUCUUCAUCAUGAGUCUGCAUGACACCAUCCUGCAAUCAAGAAAAUCAAAUAUUAUAAUGUACAUUAAUUUUAAAUCUUAGUGACACAGGAUUAAGUACAAAGUUUUUAUGCAACCAUAUCUACAUUACAAUAAUCCCUAAUGAAGGAAAUAUCUGCUAAACCUUAUAUUUUAGGAAUCUUAAAAGCCUAGCAUCUCAUCACUGAAUGUUAAUGGUGCAUAUACAAGAUAGUCUAAGCAAAUCCACCCCCGUAAAGAAGAUACAUCACCACUAUCUUUUACUUCAGAACCCACCCAAUUUUAUCCUAAAUAGAACUUUACUUUGUAUUACUUUAUGGUAUGAAAGUAAUAUCAUGAAUUUAUUUGGAAAGCAGUGCAAUAAUUCAGGACAAAUAAAAAACUAACUUCCCUAGAAUUUGAUGAGGAAAUCAAUAGACAUCAUGUUUAUUUUUCUGAUCAGGGUAAUGAGAAUUACUGUUUUCAAAAGAAACUUGUCAUGUGAAGUUCUGUCAUCCCAAAUCAGCAUAACCACUCGGAGCCCUUCUUGUGACUUGUACUUCAACAGCUCUCCAAGUGAAAGCUCUCCCCCAGAAGGCAAUGGUUUUGUUGCCUCUCUGACCAGCCUCACUGGGUGGUAAACUGACCAUCCUAUAAUGUAUAUCAGGUGAUGAGCUUCCAAAAUUGCAUGGCAUAUGUCCUCCCAACAUUUAUUAUGCUGAAACACUUUUCCACCCUCAAGUGUAAUUUCAGGUAGCAUACCAUCAGGUAAAUGUGCAUCUUGAUAUAGAGUCACACUCCCUCCUUUCCUGAGAGGGAAAUAUGUUUUAGGAACUCCUAAGGCUUUUCCAUCCCCACUACUAAUACUUUCUGAACGGUUCACUCCAAUUUGCCUAUACUGAACAGAAAUAUGCAAUUCAGGAUAAGGUUUUAAGCAGUUUCCGUACUGACCAAUGAUGGGAAACCAAUCAUUAACAGUAUUUCCUGCAAUUAUCUUCUGAACAGGUAUCUCCACCACUCCAAUGAGUUCAGCCCCAAGAAUAUCAUUGUCCUUCACAAGGAACUCAAGUUUUUGAGCAGGGUGAGCAACAGGCACAAUAAACUGCUCAUCCCACAAAGGGUUCUCACAGUUAGCAAUCACUCUAGUCUGAGCUAUGGUAGCCCCAGCAAUGCAUACAGAAACAUAAGGGUCACUAGUUAUCAUCUUGUCUUUUCCAGAGUGUGUCUUUAGUCCUUUUAUAAAUGGAGGGUGGCACAUGUUGCCCAUAGUGAUGCAUUUUCUAAUUGUUUCACUGGAUAAAUCUAAAUUUGGAAGAGACUUGGCUUCUAUUAUCAACAGAUCCAAGUCACCAUGUAAGAAAACCGGUCCAUUAAGGCCUUCAUACUCCCUGUUUGGAGAGCUUUGGGAAAUACCACCAUGACAAUCCAUUUCAACCUGAGAACUCAAAAAAGAUGCAUGUUUUCUAAAUUAGAACACUUUGUUUUCAGGUGCUAAAAUCCAAAUUCAAGAUGCUUAAAGCAUUAUGGAAAAUAGUUUCAAAAAAAUAUAACAUGCAUGUUGAUCACCUUAUGAUCCUUUCAGUUAUUUCACAUCAUCAUCUUUUGGUUGUAAGGAAAACAUGCCUCUUCAACAAAUUCUCAGAGGUUCCAGUCUCUUUGACAAAGAGAGGAGAAGAAAAACGAUUACCUGGAGAAGAAGCCAAUGACAAGAAAUAAAAGUAAAAAAAGGGAAAAGAAAAGAAAAGAAAUUUGUGUGUAUAUGGAUUCAUGUAACAAUGUUGCAGUUCAGAGCAUGGUCCAACACCACGUCCACAAGAAGCAGGAGAGAGGUUUCUUAGGCCGAAAAUGGUGGCAAAUCUCGUGGAAUUAGAAGUUUGGAACCCAUCUCUCUCUUGGUUUUUCAUUUCCUGAAUUGGCAUAUUCCAAACGAAAUCCAUGCAUGGGAGAAAAAAAUUAUAGAAAAAUAUAAAAAGAAAGAGAUUGGUGAGGUGGAAGCUGAUGGAGAGACCAAGAGAUUGGAGACAUUUUGCAUGGAACCAAUGAACUUUGUGCUUUCUUCUGGUUACCCCUCUCUCUCUCCUAUACACAUGGAAAUGUUUAAGAAAAGGAAAAAGAUUAAUCUAUGUUUAUCAUCCUGACAAAUGUUUUUUCUCCUUAAACUUUUCUUCCUUUAUAAUUUUUAGUCAUUUUCAUAUAUUUUAUUAUCAUUUUAAAUAACUUAUCACAUUUAUCAACUUACUUUUUUUAUUCCCAUCUCUCUCUUGCUCUUCCAUAUUUUGGCCAUCAUAAUUUUCAGUCCUUUCCCUCUGUUUUGAUUUUAAAUCCUUAAAAGAUUUUUUUAUUUAUUUUAGUCUUUGGGGUCAGGUAACAACUUAUUAACUUGUCAGGUUAUGACAAAUUGUCACACAAGUUUAUUUUUUUUCAAUUUUUUUUUUGUUUAUAUAUCCUCAUUUGUUCAAAAUUGUGGACAAAUUUUGUCACUAACUAAAUCAACUAAUUUUUUUUAAAAAGUAUGAAUUAAUUAGUCUUGUAUGACAAAAGAAAUAAUAAUAAUAUGGUGAGAAGAUGUGAAUUAAUUGAAAGAAUAUAUUAAUAUUGUUCCUGUCUUCUCUUGCUAAUAAUUAUCACAGAUAUGGUUCACCCAUAUUUUGUUCAAUUACUAUCAAAAGCCAUACACAAAACAUUACAAUUGGGCUUGUCAUGUUACUUGCCAGUUGAAAAAUUAAAAUUACUCUUAUUCUGCCCGGAUCCAUCAAAGAGGAAAGAAAAAGAUCAAGAAAAACUAUUGUGCAUAAACAGUAAGAAAAGCAUCACCAAACUAAUGAAUUAAGGUGCAACAAUUUCACUUGUUUUCACAAAUAUGACAAAAGUAAUAAACUCACUAUUUGUCACAAAUAUGCCAAAUCACUAUAACAAAAUAAAAAAUCCAAGAUAUAGAUAGAAUUAGAACAGCAAUGGAUAAGAUUACAUCAUAUAUAUAUAUAUUGAUCAUUCGAUCUCUCCCUCCUUGUGUGUCUCAAUGACAACGUCUGACCUAGGUUGAGCAACACAGGUGAGAACCCAGCCACUAUCUAUUUGCUCAUCAUCAAGGAAGCUACCAUCUGACUGGUCCACGUUACCUUCCACAAUUUUGCCAACACAGGAAACGCAAGAACCGGCCCUGCACGAGUAGGGAAGUUCAAUGCCUUCGUCCUCUGCCUUGUCAACAAUGAAAACAUCAUCUGGGCAUUCAAACUCCACUUCUCCUUCUGGGGUUAUGAGCUUCACCUUGUACGAGGCCAUGCAAGUGACACGACCACCUCGUCCACUUUUCAGACCAAAAAGAGCUUCACCAACGUUGGGGAAUGUCUUUAGGCUUGUGGUGGUCAUAGGUUGCCUCCUCAUGAAGGAGGUGCUCACCAUGGUUCCGGAUAGAGCUGCUGUGGUGGCCAUUGAAUGCACGAUGAAAUGAAAAACACUGGAAUAUGCUAUGCACUAGGUUUGUGUUUUG